Gopherus evgoodei (Goodes thornscrub tortoise) is the source of this 1522-nucleotide long non-coding RNA. RefSeq lists it as uncharacterized. The record is from RefSeq and is a predicted model, not a curated record. The transcript is spliced from 4 exons. Lineage: Eukaryota; Metazoa; Chordata; Testudines; Testudinidae.
CUAGGGGCAGGGGGAGUUAUUAUUUGUAUGGCUACGGGAGCAGCGCCGCCCAGGGUCAGGGGCAAGUGGGGUAGUUUGCCCCGGCGGCGGGGGGCCCCUCAGUGCUGGCGAAGACGCGGGCCGCCCCCGGGACUUGAAUCCUACAUCACUUUUUAGAAAAACCUCUUGAAAUUCUACCAGUAAAGUGGUUAGAGAUACAGGGGAGUUCUCUGCCCUGUGUAACAAAGCUUUCCUGCUGGUACUAUACUGAUGGUUUAUUUACAUUACUACUAUCACCAUCCUCUCUCCCUCCACGUGCACAACAACAGAAGGCCUUCCUGUGAGUCAGGCUAGGAGGAAUGAAGGUUUGGAGUCUUACAGUGACGUGAUCACGUCACCUGAACUGGAAUCCAUCUUUAACAUGGAGCUUUAUACAGGGAAUUUUUUCAGCAAACCUAGCAAGCGCAGCAAAGGUUCUUGGACCAGGAUAUAUUCAUUAACUAGGAGGAAUGAGCUGUGGAAUAAUUCCAGCAACAGAGAUGAGAUCCAGGUGACUGCAGGCUUGAGGUUCCAGAAGCAACCUGUGUAAGGGAGGGACUGCACCAUUCAAUGGACACCCUCAAGUGAGAACCAUUCUAACACCACUUCUGGCUGCCCGUAUGCUCCUGACUUCAUCCAUGACAAGCUUUCCAGCUCCUUCCAGCAGCUGCUCAAUCAUCCAGCACCCCAGCAAUGAGCCCACUUGCUUUGCUUCUUGCCAUAAAUGUUAUAUAAAAAAUCCUCCCAGUUGGUCUCUGUAGUGAUAUUCUUAAAUUAAAGGAAGAUAAAGUGGUAACUAAGCUGCUUUUUUAUUAUCCCAGUUACUGGAAGAGAAUUUUGGAAAAUUCUUAUAAUUGUUAUAUUUGUAUUAUAGUUAUGUCCAGAUUAGGACUCCAUUAUGCCAGACACUAUAUAUAUGCAUAUUGAGGGAGUGUCUCUGCCUCCAAAGAACUUACAGUGUAAAUAGACAGGACAGGAAAAAGGAGGGAAAUACUAUUUCCCCAAAUUUACAGAUGGGGAACUGAGUCACAGAGAGAUUAAAUGACUGGACUAAUGUCAAACAGUCAAUCUGUGGCAGAGCUGUGAACUGAACCCAGAUCUCCUAAAUCUCAGUUCCAGGCCAAUGUCAUAAUCACAUGAUCGUCUUUACUCUCUCUAUACAACUAUUAAUAUGAAGAUCACUUCUCAGGAAAAGCAGUUGAAGCACAAAUUGUUAAUGUUUUUUGACCUAUCCUUAUAAAAAUGGAAAUCAUAGGUCAUUUUUCACUGUAGAAUGUUGAUUAGCAGAUCUUCAGGUAUAGUGUGAUUCAGUAGGAAGUUAGUAAAUUGUGUCUCUGUCCUAAGUUAAAAUGUAAUUUUUUCUUCCAUUAAAUGAACUGUGAUACAUCUACACUGCUGUAUCCAUCAAAGAAUAAUGUUGAUAAUGUUGAUAAUGUUUUAUAGGAUGUUAAUUACAUGCGUCUUCCUGUCACUGACUUGAUAAAGAAAUAUCCUUUCUAGCUUA